GUGAACGCUGGCGGUAGGCCUAACACAUGCAAGUCGAACGGCAGCACCGUAAGAGCUUGCUCUUACGGGUGGCGAGUGGCGGACGGGUGAGGAAUACAUCGGAAUCUACUUUUUCGUGGGGGAUAACGUAGGGAAACUUACGCUAAUACCGCAUACGACCUACGGGUGAAAGCAGGGGCUCUUCGGACCUUGCCCGAUUGAAUGAGCCGAUGUCGGAUUAGCUAGUUGGCGGGGUAAAGGCCCACCAAGGCGACGAUCCGUAGCUGGUCUGAGAGGAUGAUCAGCCACACUGGAACUGAGACACGGUCCAGACUCCUACGGGAGGCAGCAGUGGGGAAUAUUGGACAAUGGGCGCAAGCCUGAUCCAGCCAUACCGCGUGGGUGAAGAAGGCCUUCGGGUUGUAAAGCCCUUUUGUUGGGAAAGAAAAGCAGCAGGUUAAUACCCCGCUGUUCUGACGGUACCCAAAGAAUAAGCACCGGCUAACUUCGUG
Molecule: ribosomal RNA, 491 nt
Filed under: uncultured bacterium
Lineage: Bacteria
Description: partial 16S ribosomal RNA
Rfam family: Bacterial small subunit ribosomal RNA
Source: RNAcentral